Long non-coding RNA from Apis dorsata (giant honeybee), 1148 nucleotides. RefSeq lists it as uncharacterized. The transcript has 2 exons. NCBI's taxonomy places the organism in Eukaryota, Metazoa, Arthropoda, Insecta, Hymenoptera, Apidae. The record is from RefSeq and is a predicted model, not a curated record.
AUCAUACGUAAUAACAUAAUUCUUUCGCUUCUAGUAACCGAUGAUCGAACACACAGGCCAAGCCAACAUCACCAACAACAUCGCCAACAUCACUGUCAAUCGUAACGUCGUGUUUACACGUUGAGCUUGGCUCUGUUGCAUUUUUAACACACGCAUAUCCCACGGAACGGCACCCCCGAGUAACAAGUGAACGUUGAAGUCGUCUCGCAAUGUAGGUUAACACGAUUCCUUUUCCGUUGUUCCCUUCGUUUGUUCCAGCCAUUCGACGGUCAGCCGUGAUUUAUGAAGACACGCGAAAUCAUCUUGUCUCGACAUUUUGGCCUAGAGCACGACAUUUUCGUCCGAAAGGGAGAACACUUUUGCCUGAUAUUAAGCACAAUCGACAAACGAGUUGAAUGGAAAAAGGUUAAGGGUUGCGAGAUAAGGUUAUACACACUGUGCCGAGUACUGUUUUAUACUUCACGAAGUUUCUUUUAUGGAGCGUUUAAAAAUUUUAAGUAAACUAUGGUGGAUAGUUUUCCUUUUUUUUUUUUUUUUAUUAGACUGGUGUAUAUGAAAUUCCAUUUGUGUGAAAGUAAUUUUUCUAUGAUUUUAUAUACGUAUAUAUAUUCUUUUUUAAUUUUUUUGAUGCAAUUAAAAAUUUUUUGAUCUAAAAUUCGAUAAAUUUUCACAAAUUUUCUCUUAAUUUCAGUUGAUGGAAUGAUUAACAAUUAGGCAAAAUUUGAUCGAAGAACGAUAUUUCAUAUACAUCGAUACUAACUCUAUUUUUUUCUAUCUAUAGACUGACUAUCUUUAUCUAGAGAAAGCUCGUGUGGAUCUAUAGUAAUCUGGAAUGAUUCAUAGUACUUGAAGAGAGUAUCGAGAAUAUCAAGGUCUCGUUUAUUAUUAAUUAAUAAUCAUCAAUGUUUUGUAUUACUAAUUAAGGAUAGGAUAAGAAUCUAAGUGGAAUGUUCCCAUCCAAAUUAUAAUAAAACCAUCUGGUCGCAAUGUUUUCUGGCGCACGUGGCGCAUUGGUAAUUGAAAUUAUUUCGCAACAAUGAACCACGCAGUUGAAACACAGGAUGUAUAAUUAAAGUUCAAGAUCGAGGUCGAGGUAUUGAUCGAACCUACGCGAAGACUACAAAUUUUCUUCCGAGAAGCUAAGAGGG